GGCGGACGGGUGAGUAAAGCGUGGGAACGUGCCCUUCUCUGCGGAAUAGGCUCGGGAAACUGGGUUUAUUACCGCAUACGCCCUUCGGGGAAAGAUUUAUCGGAGAAGGAACGGCCCGCGUUAGAUUAGGUAGUUGGUGGGGUAAUGGCACUACCAAGCCUACGAUAUAUAGCUGGUUUGAGAGGAUGAUCAGCCACACUGGGACUGAGACACGGCCCAGACUCCUACGGGAGGCAGCAGUGAGGAAUCUUGGACAAUGGGGAAACCCUGAUACAGCCAUGCCGCGUGAGCGAUGAAGGCCUUAGGGUUGUAAAGCUCUUUCAGUCGUGAAGAUAACUGACGGUAGCGACAGAAGAAGCCCCGGCUAACUCCGUGCCAGCAGACGCGGUAAUACGGAGGGGGCUAGCGUUGUUCGGAAUUACUGGGCGUAAAGCGCGCGUAGGCGGACUAUUAAUCAGGCGGUGAAAUCCCGGGGCUCAACCCCGGAACUGCCUUUGAUACUGGUAGUCUAGAGUUCGAGAGAGGUGAGUGGAAUUCCGAGUGUAGAGGAGAAAUUCGUAGAUAUUCGGAGGAACACCAGUGGCGAAGGCGGCUCA
This 596-nucleotide ribosomal RNA is filed under the name uncultured bacterium. RNAcentral describes it as "bacterial SSU rRNA". It matches the Rfam family "Bacterial small subunit ribosomal RNA", at positions 97 to 728 of the family's 1533-position model. The record is from RNAcentral.